RNAcentral lists this ribosomal RNA (609 nucleotides) under marine metagenome. RNAcentral's name for it is "bacterial SSU rRNA". It matches the Rfam family "Archaeal small subunit ribosomal RNA", at positions 854 to 1467 of the family's 1478-position model. The record is from RNAcentral.
ACUUAAAGGAAUAGGCGGGGGGUCACAACAAGGGGUGGAUGUUGCGGUUUAAUUCAACUAUACGCGGGGAACCCUACCAGGGCCGACAGCAGUAUGAAGGUCAGUCUAAAUGGCUCACUUGACGCGCUGAGAGGUGGUGCAUGGCGGUCGUCAGCUCGUGCCAUGAGGUGUUCUGUUAAGUCAGAGAACGAGCGAGACCUGCGUCUUCAGUUGCUAUUAUUCUUUCCGGAGAAUAAGCACUCUGAAGAGACUGCAUUCGAAAGGAUGAGGAAGGUGCAGGCUACGGUACGUCUGUAUGCCCCGAAUGUCCUGGGCUACACGCGACAUACACUGGUUAGAACAACGGGUUGCUACUCCGAGAGGAGACGCUAAUCUCUUAAAGCUAAUCUGGUUCGAAUUGAGGGCUGUAACUCGCCCUCAUGAAGCCGAAAUCCCUAGUAAUCGUGUGUUAUUAACGCGCGGUGAAUAAGUCCCUGGCCCUUGCACUCACUGCCUGUCAAGUCAACCGAGCAGGGUUAUGAUGAGGAUCUAUUUUCGGGUAGGUUCAAAUCAUAGCUCAGUGAGGCGGAUUAAGUCAACACAAGGUAUCUGUAGGGGAACCUGCAGAUG